GUGCCUAAUACAUGCAAGUCGAGCGAACAGAUAAGGAGCUUGCUCCUUUGACGUUAGCGGCGGACGGGUGAGUAACACGUGGGUAACCUACCUAUAAGACUGGAAUAACUCCGGGAAACCGGGGCUAAUGCCGGAUAACAUUUAGAACCGCAUGGUUCUAAAGUGAAAGAUGGUUUUGCUAUCACUUAUAGAUGGACCCGCGCCGUAUUAGCUAGUUGGUAAGGUAACGGCUUACCAAGGCAACGAUACGUAGCCGACCUGAGAGGGUGAUCGGCCACACUGGAACUGAGACACGGUCCAGACUCCUACGGGAGGCAGCAGUAGGGAAUCUUCCGCAAUGGGCGAAAGCCUGACGGAGCAACGCCGCGUGAGUGAUGAAGGUCUUCGGAUCGUAAAACUCUGUUAUUAGGGAAGAACAAAUGUGUAAGUAACUGUGCAC
This 439-nucleotide ribosomal RNA is filed under the name Staphylococcus ureilyticus. RNAcentral's name for it is "bacterial SSU rRNA". It matches the Rfam family "Bacterial small subunit ribosomal RNA", at positions 44 to 473 of the family's 1533-position model. Lineage: Bacteria; Bacillati; Bacillota; Bacilli; Caryophanales; Staphylococcaceae. The record is from RNAcentral.